UUUCCGUAGGUGAACCUGCGGAAGGAUCAUUACAGAGUUCAUGCCCUCACGGGUAGAUCUCCCACCCUUGAAUAUUUAUACCUUAGUUGCUUUGGCAGGCCAUGGAAACACCAUGGGCUCCGGCUUAUGCGUGCCUGCCAGAGGAAACAAACUCUGUUUUUAGUGAUGUCUGAGUACUAUAUAAUAGUUAAAACUUUCAACAACGGAUCUCUUGGUUCUG
Molecule: unclassified non-coding RNA, 220 nt
Filed under: plant metagenome
Description: partial contains small subunit ribosomal RNA, internal transcribed spacer 1, and 5.8S ribosomal RNA
Source: RNAcentral